GGUUAAGCGACUAAGCGUACACGGUGGAUGCCCUGGCAGUCAGAGGCGAUGAAGGGCGUGCUAAUCUGCGAUAAGCGCCGGUAAGGUGAUAUGAACCGUUAUAACCGGCGAUACCCGAAUGGGGAAACCCAGUGUGAUUCGUCACACUAUCAUUAACUGAAUCCAUAGGUUAAUGAGGCGAACCGGGGGAACUGAAACAUCUAAGUACCCCGAGGAAAAGAAAUCAACCGAGAUUCCCCCAGUAGCGGCGAGCGAACGGGGAGGAGCCCAGAGCCUGAAUCAGCAUGUGUGUUAGUGGAAGCGUCUGGAAAGGCGCGCGAUACAGGGUGACAGCCCCGUACACAAAAGCGCAUGUGCUGUGAGCUCGAUGAGUAGGGCGGGACACGUGGUAUCCUGUCUGAAUAUGGGGGGACCAUCCUCCAAGGCUAAAUACUCCUGACUGACCGAUAGUGAACCAGUACCGUGAGGGAAAGGCGAAAAGAACCCCGGCGAGGGGAGUGAAAAAGAACCUGAAACCGUGUACGUACAAGCAGUGGGAGCCCCACCACUAAGCCAGUGGUGAACUCCACAUACGCAUCCUUUGCUGAAGGCAAUGGUUAACGGAGCGAAAGCGACGUUCAACCGCAAAACAAGCAGAGGGGGCUUAGUGGUGGGGUGACUGCGUACCUUUUGUAUAAUGGGUCAGCGACUUAUAUUCUGUAGCAAGGUUAACCGUAUAGGGGAGCCGGAGGGAAACCGAGUCUUAAUUGGGCGUUAAGUUGCAGGGUAUAGACCCGAAACCCGGUGAUCUAGCCAUGGGCAGGUUGAAGGUUGGGUAACACUAACUGGAGGACCGAACCGACUAAUGUUGAAAAAUUAGCGGAUGACCUGUGGCUGGGGGUGAAAG
This 886-nucleotide ribosomal RNA is filed under the name Salmonella enterica. RNAcentral describes it as "partial 23S ribosomal RNA". It matches the Rfam family "Bacterial large subunit ribosomal RNA", at positions 1 to 827 of the family's 2925-position model. Lineage: Bacteria; Pseudomonadati; Pseudomonadota; Gammaproteobacteria; Enterobacterales; Enterobacteriaceae. The record is from RNAcentral.